GAUGAACGCUGGCGGCGUGCCUAAUACAUGCAAGUAGAACGCUGAAGGAGGAGCUUGCUCUUCUGGAUGAGUUGCGAACGGGUGAGUAACGCGUAGGUAACCUGCCUGGUAGCGGGGGAUAACUAUUGGAAACGAUAGCUAAUACCGCAUGACAACAGUUAUUGCAUGAUAACUGUUUAAAAGGGGCAACUGCUCCACUACCAGAUGGACCUGCGUUGUAUUAGCUAGUUGGUGAGGUAACGGCUCACCAAGGCGACGAUACAUAGCCGACCUGAGAGGGGGGUCGGCCCCACUGGGACUGAGACACGGCCCAGACUCCUACGGGAGGCAGCAGUAGGGAAUCUUCGGCAAUAGACGGAAGUCUGACCGAGCAACGCCGCGUGAGUGAAGAAGGUUUUCGGAUCGUAAAGCUCUGUUGUAAGAGAAGAACGAGUGUGAGAGUGGAAAGUUCACACUGUGACGGUAUCUUACCAGAAAGGGACGGCUAACUACGUG
Molecule: ribosomal RNA, 495 nt
Filed under: uncultured bacterium
Lineage: Bacteria
Description: partial 16S ribosomal RNA
Rfam family: Bacterial small subunit ribosomal RNA
Source: RNAcentral